Podarcis lilfordi (Lilford's wall lizard) is the source of this 69-nucleotide non-coding RNA. Lineage: Eukaryota; Metazoa; Chordata; Lepidosauria; Squamata; Lacertidae. The record is from the annotation of a GenBank genome assembly.
GGCGUAGUUCAGUGGUUGAGCAUCAGCUUUGCAUGCAGAAACUCCUAAAUUCAAUCUCUGGCAUCUCCA